RNAcentral lists this ribosomal RNA (204 nucleotides) under uncultured bacterium. RNAcentral describes it as "partial 16S ribosomal RNA". It matches the Rfam family "Bacterial small subunit ribosomal RNA", at positions 524 to 728 of the family's 1533-position model. The record is from RNAcentral.
UACGUAGGGGGCUAGCGUUGUCCGGAUUUAUUGGGCGUAAAGAGCGUGUAGGCGGCCAGGUAGGUCUGCUGUGAAAACUCGAGGCUCAACCUCGAGACGUCGGCGGAAACCAUCUGGCUAGAGUCCGGAAGAGGAGAGUGGAAUUCCUGGUGUAGCGGUGAAAUGCGCAGAUAUCAGGAAGAACACCCGUGGCGAAGGCGGUCU